AUUAUCUGUAAAACAUGUAACAUUAAGACGUACGAGCUAACCAAAUCAUCCGGGAUUAAUUUUCCAACAAUUGUGCAUUGAAGGUGUAUUGAGAUUCAAACCACCAUUGCAUUUCUGGAAACGGCAAUGGGAAUAAUAAAGUUUAAAUACCUCAUAUAUUUCCAAUAUUUAGUGAUCUGAACGGACAGUUUACAAAAUUUCAAAAUAUAUAUUAAUGUGACCUUAUUGAGCAUGUACCCCCUAAAUCCAUUAAAUAAAUCUUUGGUAGUUUAAAAUAAAUACAUGUAUUCAUGAAAACUUUAAAGACCCAGAAUCAACUCAAACGUGUAAAGAAAAAUACGACCUAUUUUACAAGGAUAAAAGGGAUUUAAUCGGUGAUCACAUACUGUGAUUCGCCUUAGUGCGACUACUAGUUUCUUUAGGUACUAUUAUGCGUUUUUAAAUUCGACUUUAAAAUAAUCACGUAAUCAAGGUGCGAUUACCAGUUUCUUUAGGUACAAACGUUUUUUUUCAAGUUAAAAAAACCUGAUUGUUAUGUAAACCUGAUUGUGCUGAAAAAAAAGUAUUGAUUUAAACGAACAAUGACAUUUAGGGUAUUUGGAAAUUUAAAAGUGACGUCACUUUAGGAAUUGCGAAAAGGUAAGAUCCUUAGAUCCCAGUAACCAUAAGAGAAGACAUGACCAAAAAAGGAAGAUGCAUGGAGUUGGAUGAUUGAGGUGCAACCGUUGGAACUUGUGAAAUAAGCGCAAACGGUCAAGUUCUGCAUUGAAUGAGUGAAGUACAUGCGCUUUCUUUUGUGUUAGUCUGGGUUAAUUUCAUUUUCUGUGAAAGGGUGCUUUAUAUUGGUUAUUCCCAAGCAGUGAGAAGAACACCAGAGAAACGAGGGGAAAGCGGAAAAGAUGCUUUGGAUGGAUUUUAUUGUAUUUUCUUCAAAGGUUACUAAUUAUUUGAUUAGAAUUCCUUUAUAUAAUUUAAUAAAAUAUAGUUUUAC
Long non-coding RNA from Magallana angulata, 991 nucleotides. RefSeq lists it as uncharacterized. NCBI's taxonomy places the organism in Eukaryota, Metazoa, Mollusca, Bivalvia, Ostreida, Ostreidae. The transcript is spliced from 2 exons. The record is from RefSeq and is a predicted model, not a curated record.